This 253-nucleotide ribosomal RNA is filed under the name uncultured bacterium. RNAcentral's name for it is "partial 16S ribosomal RNA". It matches the Rfam family "Bacterial small subunit ribosomal RNA", at positions 524 to 776 of the family's 1533-position model. The record is from RNAcentral.
CACGGGGGGAGCAAGCGUUGUUCGGAAUCACUGGGCGUAAAGGGCGUGUAGGCGGUCAAGUAAGUGGAAUGUGAAAGCCCCCGGCUUACCCGGGGAUCUGCAUCCCAAACUGCUUGGCUUGAGUACGGGAGAGGAUAGGGGAAUUCCUGGUGUAGCGGUGAAAUGCGUAGAUAUCGGGAGGAACACCGGUGGCGAAGGCGCCUAUCUGGCCCGAUACUGACGCUGAGGCGCGAAAGCUAGGGGAGCAAACGGG